GUACUUUCUUGACCCAAUAAACUUUAUAAUUUUCGCCUUUUACUAAAGAUUACCAUGGAGGGGAACAUUACAAUAAGCCUAUAGGCAAUUUUUGAAAUCCUGCUUUACACGGGAU
This 115-nucleotide small nuclear RNA is filed under the name Centruroides sculpturatus (bark scorpion). RNAcentral describes it as "U5 spliceosomal RNA". It matches the Rfam family "U5 spliceosomal RNA". Rfam says of the family: U5 RNA is a component of both types of known spliceosome. The precise function of this molecule is unknown, though it is known that the 5' loop is required for splice site selection and p220 binding, and that both the 3' stem-loop and the Sm site are important for Sm protein binding and cap methylation. The record is from RNAcentral. Lineage: Eukaryota; Metazoa; Arthropoda; Arachnida; Scorpiones; Buthidae.